This 774-nucleotide ribosomal RNA is filed under the name uncultured Neocallimastigales. RNAcentral describes it as "partial large subunit ribosomal RNA". It matches the Rfam family "Eukaryotic large subunit ribosomal RNA", at positions 22 to 634 of the family's 3401-position model. The record is from RNAcentral. Lineage: Eukaryota; Fungi; Neocallimastigomycota; Neocallimastigomycetes; Neocallimastigales.
GUACACGCUGUGACUAGCAUAUCAAUAAGCGGAGGAAAAGAAACUAACAAGGAUUCCCUUAGUAACGGCGAGUGAAGCGGGAAGAGCUCAAAUUUGAAAUCUUCAAGGUUUUACCUUGACGAAUUGUAGUUUAAAGAAGUGUUUUCUGUUGAAGUUUUGGUAAAAGUUCUUUGGAAUAGGACAUCAUAGAGGGUGAGAAUCCCGUAUUUGACCAUUAUUUUCAGCUGUGUGAUACACUUUCAAAGAGUCGGAUUGUUUGGGAAUGCAGUCCAAAAUGGGUGGUAAAUUUCAUCUAAAGCUAAAUAUUGGCGAGAGACCGAUAGCGAACAAGUACCGUGAGGGAAAGAUGAAAAGAACUUUGAAAAGAGAGUUAAACAGUACGUGAAAUUGUCAAAAGGGAAGCGUUUGACACCAGUGUUGUUUUCUCGAAAAUCAAUUAAAAAAAGUUGGAUUUUGUGUUGUAUUGACCUUAACAGCUUUCUUCACUCUUUUCCUGCUUUUUUUAAUGCACUUCUCGUUUAACAAGUCAACAUCAGUUUCUUUUGUUGUAAAAGGGUCAUUGGAAGGUGGCUUUCUUUUCGGAGAAAGUGUUUAUAGCCUUUGGCCUCUGCAAUCGAAGAGACUGAGGUCUGCAGCGUAGACUCUUCGGGGUUAGAUACAUUUGUGCUAAGUUAUAGCUUUUUAUAGACAACUUGUUGACUAUAAUUAGUCUUGUAGCUUACUCGCUUAUGCUAUUUUACCUACGCUUAGGAUGUUGAACUACUGAGACAUAGA